UACAGAGGGUGCGAGCGUUAAUCGGAAUUACUGGGCGUAAAGGGCGCGUAGGCGGCCUUCUAAGUCAGACGUGAAAUCCCUCGGCUCAACCGGGGAACUGCGUCUGAGACUGGAAGGCUUGAAUCCGGGAGAGGGAUGUGGAAUUCCAGGUGUAGCGGUGAAAUGCGUAGAUAUCUGGAGGAACACCGGUGGCGAAGGCGGCAUCCUGGACCGGUAUUGACGCUGAGGCGCGAAAGCCAGGGGAGCAAACGGG
This 253-nucleotide ribosomal RNA is filed under the name uncultured bacterium. RNAcentral describes it as "partial 16S ribosomal RNA". It matches the Rfam family "Bacterial small subunit ribosomal RNA", at positions 524 to 776 of the family's 1533-position model. The record is from RNAcentral.